UGGGGAAUAUUGCACAAUGGGGGAAACCCUGAUGCAGCAACGCCGCGUGAGUGAUGACGGUCUUCGGAUUGUAAAGCUCUGUCUUUAGGGACGAUAAUGACGGUACCUAAGGAGGAAGCCACGGCUAACUACGUGCCAGCAGCCGCGGUAAUACGUAGGUGGCAAGCGUUGUCCGGAUUUACUGGGCGUAAAGGGAGCGUAGGCGGAUUUUUAAGUGGGAUGUGAAAUACCCGGGCUCAACCUGGGUGCUGCAUUCCAAACUGGAGAUCUAGAGUACAGGAGGGGAAAGUGGAAUUCCUAGUGUAGCGGUGAAAUGCGUAGAGAUUAGGAAGAACACCAGUGGCGAAGGCGACUUUCUGGACUGUAACUGACGCUGAGGCUCGAAAGCGUGGGGAGCAAACAGG
Molecule: ribosomal RNA, 404 nt
Filed under: uncultured bacterium
Lineage: Bacteria
Description: bacterial SSU rRNA
Rfam family: Bacterial small subunit ribosomal RNA
Source: RNAcentral